AGACCCUGGCCUCCAUCUUGAAAACGGAAAAUAAAAACAGCAGACCUAUGAAGGUCGAAGGGGAAGAAAAGCUGUAUCGAUUGUUGAGAUCUGGCGACUUGUUUAAAUUUCAUCAGCCUCACUUCUAUGAACUCUCAGGCCUCACGUGUACCAGCUCUCUGCUCUCCUUUGCCUUGGGACGUUCCAUCCCUGGAAGUUUCCCUGCCCACAUCUUUGUAGAGAGUCCAUUCUCCAAGCUUCAGUGUGUCAUCUGUGAGGACCGUGACCCACCUGGUACAUCGCCUCAGGGCAUUCAUUUCAGGCUCCUUCUAAAUGGCCAAGUACACUCAUGGCCUUGAAUCUUCAUCCACUCAGAGCUCCAUGUGUAUUCUUCCAAGCCAUUGCUCUAUACCCGGAACCGCCUUUUCUUGAACACACCACAGGAUACCUCACCCAUCUGUUCUGUGAAGCAUUCCAAUGACAAUAACCACCUACCAUUUUGUGCUAUUAUACAGUUAUCUCCUUCCCCUUCAUCCUGUUGGUAUUGUGUAUAUUACUUAAGAUGAGCACUCUAGUUCUUUAUUUGCUUGUAAAUUAUAAGUGGUGGUGUGGUUUAUAAACUCAUGAAAAUUAUAUUUCACUUGGGAUGAAACUGGUAGAACCAUUUAUAAUAACAUCAUGUUGUUAUGUGGUAUAUAUAUUAUAUAUAGGUAUAUAUAUACACCAAUAUGAAGAGUGAAUUACAUUGUAGGUAGGGUAAUAGAUUAGCUCAAUUGUUUAGUAUAACGUCAAGCUAUUUGUGGUUCAGGUGUGAGCCCCAUAGGACUAGUUACCUUACUAUUUGCUAUAGUUGAAAACUAUAGCUCUACAAUAAGCGGCUGUUUUAAGAUGAAGAUGGUGUUACACGUAGUAUGGCAGAGACAGAGUGAUAUACUCUAAGGAACAUUGUUCAGCUAAUCAGACCUGGGUUCAAAUUCCAUCACCACUGUUUACUUGCUGUGUGCUUCCAAACAAACCCUGUAAAUCUGUUUUCUAAAAUAAAAAGUUAUGAACACAUAAUCUCAUGUUUUGGGAUUGCUAUGAAGGUUAAAUAAAGUAAGGAAUAUUCGGGACAAUCUAUCACAGGGCCUGACACAAACUAGUUCAACAUAUGUCUUUGUCUGUAAUCUAAAUCUCUACCAAGAAAUUUAAAAACUCGAAUUGCUCCAUGUGAAUUUUACCCCAAGCUCUUGGUUUCAACAUGCUGAAAAAUUAACUCAUUUUCCUCCCAAACCUCUUUCUCCUGUAUUCUGUCAUUGGAUGAAUGGCAUUUCUACUCACACAUUACAUAUCCAACCAAGCAUUAAUACCAAAUGGUUUUUGCCUCUCAUA
RNAcentral lists this long non-coding RNA (1350 nucleotides) under Homo sapiens (human). RNAcentral's name for it is "HSALNT0306313". The record is from RNAcentral. Lineage: Eukaryota; Metazoa; Chordata; Mammalia; Primates; Hominidae.